Molecule: long non-coding RNA, 2741 nt
Organism: Equus asinus (donkey)
Lineage: Eukaryota; Metazoa; Chordata; Mammalia; Perissodactyla; Equidae
Source: Ensembl
AAGCCAAAGUAGUUUACUAGAAGAGUCUCGCCUUCCAGAGGAGUGGGCCAGCAUUAAUACGCAACCGUACUCAGUCAUUGGCUAGAAGCCGAAGGAGACCUCAGAUGAGUAUAAAGAGGAGAGGCCAAGUGAGAAAUCAUUUCACUUCUGGUCCCCAAAUGUGUGGAGGUUUCUCCCCACAAGAACAAGCAGUUCUCAGACAGCAGCAAGGUGUCCAAGAAUUCAACUCAGUUCUGACACUAUCUACCCAGGACAGCACCAGAUCACACAGGAUAUGAUAAAGGAUGCAGAUGAACAGCCAGAUGAAGAGAUGCAUGCGGCGAGGUCUGGGAUGAUCCUGAGUGCAGGAGCUUCUGUCCUCAAGGAGUUGGGGUGUGUCACCCCCCAUGUGGUUGUUCACCCACCUGGAAGUUCUCUGAACCCCCUAUUAUUGGGAUUUUAUGGAGGCUUCCUCAUACUAGCCCUGAGCAAACAGCCACCGCCAAUCCUGCUCUGUUUGCUGAGGAAGACUGGCCCUGAGCUAACAUCCAUGCCCAUCUUCCUCUGCUUUAUAUGUGGGACGCCUAUCACAGCAUGGCUUGAUGUGCGGUGCCAUGUCCCCACCUGGGAUCCGAACCAGUGAACCCCGGGCCACUGAGAAGCAGAACGUGGGCACUUAACCACUCUGCCACUGGCCUGCCCCAAUUGUUUUAUAAUCCAUUUUAUGUUAAUAAGAUCAGUAGUAAUAACCCCAUUUUCAUUUCUGAUUUUAGCAAUUUGAGUCUUAUUUUAUUCUAAGUCAUUCUUGCUGAAGACUUGUCAAUUUGAUUUUUUCAAAGAACCAUUUUUUGUUUUCAUUAAUUCUCUUUAUUUCUUUAUUCUCCUUCAUUUAUCUCUGCUAUAAUGUUUACUGUUUCCUUUCUUCUGCUAGUUUUGGAUUUAGUUUGCUCUUUUUUUCUAUUUCCUUGAGGUGUAAUGUUAGGUUAUUGAUUUGAUAUCUUUCUUAAUUUUAAUCAGGCUCUCACAGCUGUAAAUUCCCCUCUGAGCAGUGCUUUCACUGUCUCCCACAAAUUUUGCUAUGCUGUAUUGUUUUUUGUCCUCUUCAAAGUAUUUUCUAUUUUCCCUUGUGAUCACUCCUUUGACCCAUUGUGUGUUUAAGACUGUGUAGUUUAAUUCCAAAAUAUUUGUGAAUUUUCCAGUUUCCAUAUUUUCCUUCCAUUUUGCCUGAAGAAGAUACUUUGUAUUAUUUCAAUCUUUUAAAAUUUAUUUAGACUUGAUUUGUGGCCUAACAUAUGGUCUAUUCUGAAAAUGCACCAUGAGAACCUGUGAAAAAUGUGUAUUCUGUUGUUUUUGGAUUGAGUCUUCUAUAGCUGUCUGCUAGGACUUUGGUAUAUAUGUUUGUUCAAUCUUGUAUUCCCUUGCGAUAAUCUGUCUAGAUUUUCUAUUUUUAUAAGAAUUCUCAUUAUUGUGGAAUGUCUACUCCAUCCGAUUCUGCCAGUUUUUGCUACAUAUGUUUUGGUGCUCUGUAGUGAGAUAUGUAUAUGUGAAUGAUUAUUAUGUUUUCUUAGAUUGCCAUGUUUAUAGAUAUAUAAAAUCUUUCUUUAUGUCUUAUAACAAUUUUUGACUUAGAGUCUAUUUUGUCUAAUAUUAGGAUAGCCACUCCAGCUUUCUGUAGAUAAUUAUUUGUAUGGAAUAUCUUUUUUCCAUUCUUUCAUUUUCAAUGUUCUUGUGUCUUUGGACCUAAAGUGAGCCUCUUGUAGACAGCAUGUAGUUAGAUCAUGUUUUCUAAUCUGUUGUGCCAAUCUUUCCCUUUUAAUUGGAGAGCUUAGCCAUUUACAUUUAAAGCAAUUGCUGAUAAGGAAGAACUUCUACCAUUUUGCUAUUUGUUGUCUAUGUCCUUUUACUUCCUCAAUUCCUCCAUUAGUGUAUAAUUUAUUUUAUUAAAUUGAUAUUUUCUGGUGUCUCAUUUUAAUUAACUUGUUACUUCUUUUACUAUAUUUUUGAGUUACUUAGUGGUUGCCUGGAGGACUACAAAUAACAUCUUAAAUGUAUAACAAUCUAGGACAUGUUAAUACCAAUGUAUCUUCAGUGGUAUACAAAUGUCUGCUUCUAUAUAUCUCCAUUCCCCACGCCACCUUUCUGCUGUUAUCACAGAUUGCAUCUUUAUACAUUAUAUAUCCAUCAACCUAGAUUUAUAAUUAUUGCCUUUAUGCAGUUAUCUUUUAAAUCAAAUAGUUAAAAAAGGAUUUAAAAAGAGAAAAUAUCUUUCAAAAAUAUAUUUACCUAUGUAGUUACCUUUCCUGGUGUUCUUUAUUUCUUUAUGUAGAAUUUAGUUAUUGUCUAGAGUCCUCUCAUUUUAGGCUGAAGGACUGCCUUUAGUAUUUGUUGUAGGCAGGUCUGGUAAUGACAAACUCUCUUUUCCUUUUUUUUUUUAACCUAGCCAUGUCUUAAUUUGUCCUUCAUUUUUGAAAGAUAGUUUUGCCAGUUAUAUAAUUUGUGCUUUACAGUGUUUUUCUUUAAGCACAUUAAAUAUAUAAUCCCACCUCCUUUUGGCCUCCAUGAUUUCUGAUACGAAAUCAACUAUUAAUCUCACUGUGGAGCCCUUGUAUCUGAUGAAUGACUCUUGUCCUACUGCUUUCAUGAUUAUCUUUAUCCUUAUUUUUUGACAAAUUGAUUAUUAUGUGUCUAGGUUUAGAUCUCUUUUAGUUUAUCCUGCUUUCAGGACAUUGAGUUUCUUGGAUGUGUAGAUUUGAUAAUUUUCA